UCAUAAAUAUAUUAGAAGAGAAAAAAGAUUGAAAAAUAAAAUUGUUGGGAUUUAACAGAUAAAAAUGAGCGAAGAAGCAAAAUAGUGUAUCAAUAAAGGAGAAAAUAGCAAAAAAAGAGAUGUAUGAAAUGUUGCAAUGGAGUGAUAAAUUUAUAGAGGAAGAAUAUGACCGUUAGGGUCAUUUUUAGGGACAUUUUUGUACAACUUUAUUAAUUUGGAUUUUUGGAGGGAUAUAAUUGUAAGGGCAAAAUGGACAUUUCACUUAUAAAGAACAAAGAUGACCGUUGGCAUUUUUGCAAGGACAUUUUUGCAAAUGUUUAUCAGUUAGGGCUUUUGGAGGGAUAUAUUUGUGAGGGAAAAACUGUCAUUUCACCCAUUCACUGUUAAAAAAUAAACAGUUCACUAACGGAUGUUAACUGCAGGAACAUAUCUGCAUAACAUUGCACUUUUGUAGGGACAACUUAUGGAGUUUUCAAUUUGCAGGGAUAUUUCUGCAAUUCACUAUGUUUGCAGGGACCUGUAUGCAAAUAACCCUUUAAAAAUGUCACUUCUAAAAGUGACUUUCAAUAUCAGUUGUUUGGACCGACCGUCCCUAGAGCAAGUGGCAAAGGGCUUGGUGGUUCGUACCCGAGAUCCAAGUUCGAAUCCUAGUUGAUUCAUAUUUCCAGCUAAGUUUAUUUCAAAAUGAAAUAAACGAAGCGGGUAGCGUGCUACCUAUCUCUCUCUCUCUCUCUCCAAAAAAAAAAAAAAAA
RNAcentral lists this long non-coding RNA (752 nucleotides) under Ananas comosus (pineapple). RNAcentral describes it as "long non-coding RNA (ACOM_LNC011718)". Lineage: Eukaryota; Viridiplantae; Streptophyta; Magnoliopsida; Poales; Bromeliaceae. The record is from RNAcentral.